GACGAACGCUGGCGGCGUGCUUAACACAUGCAAGUCGAACGGAAAGGCCUUUUCGGAGGUACUCGAGUGGCGAACGGGUGAGUAACACGUGGGUGAUCUGCCCUGCACUCUGGGAUAAGCCUGGGAAACUGGGUCUAAUACCGGAUAGGACCGCACUUUAGUGUGUGUGGUGGAAAGUUUUUUCGGUGUAGGAUGAGCCCGCGGCCUAUCAGCUUGUUGGUGGGGUAAUGGCCUACCAAGGCGGCGACGGGUAGCCGGACUGAGAGGUUGGUCGGCCACAUUGGGACUGAGAUACGGCCCAGACUCCUACGGGAGGCAGCAGUGGGGAAUAUUGCACAAUGGGCGCAAGCCUGAUGCGGCGACGCCGCGGGGGGGAUGACGGCCUUCGGGUUGUAAACUCCUUUCGCCAGGGACGAAGCGUUUUGUGACGGUACCUGGAGAAGAAGCACCGGCUAACUACGUG
RNAcentral lists this ribosomal RNA (463 nucleotides) under uncultured bacterium. RNAcentral's name for it is "partial 16S ribosomal RNA". It matches the Rfam family "Bacterial small subunit ribosomal RNA", at positions 28 to 507 of the family's 1533-position model. The record is from RNAcentral.